AUUGAACGCUGGCGGCAUGCUUUACACAUGCAAGUCGAACGGUAACAGGCCGCAAGGUGCUGACGAGUGGCGAACGGGUGAGUAAUGCAUCGGAACGUGCCCAGUCGUGGGGGAUAACUACUCGAAAGAGUAGCUAAUACCGCAUACGAUCUAUGGAUGAAAGCGGGGGACCGUAAGGCCUCGCGCGAUUGGAGCGGCCGAUGUCAGAUUAGGUAGUUGGUGGGGUAAAGGCUCACCAAGCCAACGAUCUGUAGCUGGUCUGAGAGGGCGACCAGCCACACUGGGACUGAGACACGGCCCAGACUCCUACGGGAGGCAGCAGUGGGGAAUUUUGGACAAAGGGCGCAAGCCUGAUCCAGCAAUGCCGCGUGCAGGAAGAGGGCCUUCGGGUUGUAAACUGCUUUUGUACGGAACGAAACGGCUCUGGUUAAUACCCGGGGCUAAUGACGGUACCGUAAGAAUAAGCACCGGCUAACUACGUG
RNAcentral lists this ribosomal RNA (482 nucleotides) under uncultured bacterium. Its description in RNAcentral is "partial 16S ribosomal RNA". It matches the Rfam family "Bacterial small subunit ribosomal RNA", at positions 30 to 507 of the family's 1533-position model. The record is from RNAcentral.